This 278-nucleotide unclassified non-coding RNA is filed under the name Hevea brasiliensis (rubber tree). The record is from RNAcentral. Lineage: Eukaryota; Viridiplantae; Streptophyta; Magnoliopsida; Malpighiales; Euphorbiaceae.
GAUCCAAGGAUAGGGAUUCUGAACCUUGCUGUUAAAUUACCGGCUGGAGUCAUAAAACCAGAUUUGGGUCCAAAGACAUACAUUGCUUAUGGUCUCAGCGAGGAACUUGGGAGAGGGGAUUCAGUGACAAAGCUUCACUGUGAUAUGUCAGAUGCGAUAAAUAUUUUGACACACACAGCAGAGAUGGCUAUAACUGAUGAGCAGCGGUCGGCAAUUGAAAUAGUGAAACAGAUGCAUAGAGCUCAGGAUGAAAGAGAGCGCAUCGAAUGCGAGGCUGA